Molecule: small RNA, 72 nt
Filed under: Tenacibaculum dicentrarchi
Lineage: Bacteria; Pseudomonadati; Bacteroidota; Flavobacteriia; Flavobacteriales; Flavobacteriaceae
Description: Flavo-1
Rfam family: Flavo-1 RNA
Source: RNAcentral
UUUUAGCCCUGAUAGAGGCGGCAUCCUUUUUUGAAGAAUGAAAAAAAGAUAUAGCCGAAAGCAGGAAAUAGC